Molecule: long non-coding RNA, 1121 nt
Filed under: Takifugu rubripes (torafugu)
Lineage: Eukaryota; Metazoa; Chordata; Actinopteri; Tetraodontiformes; Tetraodontidae
Description: lncRNA (ENSTRUG00000029084.1)
Source: RNAcentral
CUGCUGGCUAACAUGUCAGCAAUGGAUACUCCAAAGUUUCUAAUUUUGCUUUUAUGGAUGUGGUCUUGCAAAGGAAGUGAAAGUCUAAAGCAGGGUGUUCGGAAUUCACCAAGAGAAGAUGCAGCCGUCAUCACUUCCUGUGACUUCAACCAGGACAGCACACCUUACUGCCAAUUCACACAGGACACCGCAGACGACAAUGACUGGACGAGACACUUUGGUCCAACCCCAACAAAUCACACAGGCCCCAGUGGAGACUACCCAGACAGAAGUAAGUCCUAACUGGAUGGUAUCUAUUUUCUGUACAGCGUAAAGCCAAGAUGUAAAAGCCCAAGUCAUUUUCAAUCUUGUUCUGUUUUACUCCAUUUAUAGAGGGGUUCUACAUCUAUCAUGAGUGCGACAACGUGUCUAAUGGAAAAAAGGCUCGUCUCCUGAGCCCGCUCAUCUCAUCAACAUCAUCUCAGAUUUGUGUUCAGUUUCGUUACUAUAUGUAUGGGAUUGAUAGUGACAAUCUAUUGAGGGUUUUGACAAAGAGACCUGGUGGUGAAGAGGAGAACUGGAACAGGACAGGAAUCCAGAGUCCAGCGUGGCUACCGGGCUCUGUGACUGUGUCAAAAUCCACAACUGAACAGAUUACUAUGGUCUUUGAGGCUCAGAGAGGUCGCACAUCGUAUUGUGACACAGCUCUGGAUAACAUUGUCAUUAGUGAAGGAGCAUGUCCUUGUAAGUAUACACAUGCAAACACAGAGCCUCAUACAUACAGACAGAAUCUAAAAACCUUUGUUUUUCCCUCCACAGCCUGUGUUGCUGGCUGUAAUUUCGACAAUUUGGGUGAUCUUUGCGGGUGGGUGUCUGAAGCGGAAAAUACUGACAUCUUUGGUUUCGAACAAUUUACUGGUGCAGGUCCUAGUUCAGGCACUGGUCCGAAUGAUGACUUCUCCAAACCUGGAUGUGAGUUUUCUUUUCUUUCUUUUUCCCACAAAUCUUAAAGGUGCACUAUGCAGGGUUGCAUAGUGACCUCCCCAAAUACACUGUGAAACUGUCAGGCCUCUGGAGACAACACAAGGGUUGUAAACGUCAAAAUAAACAAUAGGGUGCGCCAAGAGAUGAAAAAUCAUCUU